UGGGGAAUAUUGCGCAAUGGGCGAAAGCCUGACGCAGCGACGCCGCGUGCGGGAUGAAGGUUUUCGGAUCGUAAACCUCUGUCCGAAGGGAAGAAACCGCACUGUGCUAAUCAGCAGUGCCUUGCCGGUACCUUCAAAGGAAGCACCGGCUACCUCCGUGCCAGCAGCCGCGGUAAUACGGAGGGUGCAAGCGUUAAUCGGAAUUACUGGGCGUAAAGCGCACGUAGGCUGCUUUGUAAGUCAGGGGUGAAAUCCCACGGCUCAACCGUGGAACUGCCUUUGAUACUGCUUAGCUUGAAUCCGGGAGAGGGUGGCGGAAUUCCAGGUGUAGGAGUGAAAUCCGUAGAUAUCUGGAGGAACAUCAGUGGCGAAGGCGGCCACCUGGAACGGUAUUGACGCUGAGGUGCGAAAGCGUGGGGAGCAAACAGG
This 429-nucleotide ribosomal RNA is filed under the name Fusobacteriota bacterium. RNAcentral describes it as "Fusobacteria bacterium partial 16S ribosomal RNA". It matches the Rfam family "Bacterial small subunit ribosomal RNA", at positions 355 to 776 of the family's 1533-position model. The record is from RNAcentral. Lineage: Bacteria; Fusobacteriati; Fusobacteriota.